This 253-nucleotide ribosomal RNA is filed under the name uncultured bacterium. RNAcentral's name for it is "partial 16S ribosomal RNA". It matches the Rfam family "Bacterial small subunit ribosomal RNA", at positions 524 to 776 of the family's 1533-position model. The record is from RNAcentral.
GACGAAGGAUGCAAGCGUUAUCCGGAUUCAUUGGGUUUAAAGGGAGCGUAGGUGGCCUUAUAAGUCAGUGGUGAAAUCCUGUUGCUUAACAGCAGAAUUGCCAUUGAUACUGUAGGGCUUGAGUAUAGUUGCCGUUGGCGGAAUAUGACAUGUAGUGGUGAAGUACAUAGAGAUGUCAUAGAACACCGAUUGCGAAGGCAGCUAACGAAACUAUAACUGACACUGAGGCUCGAAAGUGCGGGGAUCAAACAGG